CUGUUAUUGUUCUCAAUGAUUAUCGAGCAUAUGCAUUACCAUGUGGCUUCAAGCGUGUCAGUGUGCUCUUGCUCAUAAUUUUUACUAUAUCUUGUUACUAAAAUUGCAAGUUAAUUGCAAAUUACUCAGAGCUUGGAUUGUCUCCUCCAGUUGGUUAAAGGAAAGCUACCGGGAAGGCAGAUUUGUUGACGAGUUGCCUUACAUACUAAAUGAUGAUGACUACAUAUCGAAGUAUCGAGCCAGCCUAAAAGCUGCAGUUCUCAAGGCAAAAGCAUGUUUUUGAGCUUUAUUUGAAGGGUAUGAUGUUUGCAUAUCAGCUCACGCUCAACCACCACCUAAAACUCUAUCCCUGAUAGUCAAGUCAGCCGGUGGAAAUGUGAUUCAUGAGCUAGAUAAAGUAAACAAUGUAUGAAAGACGAUCUUUGUGGCUUGUGAGGAAGACGUGGAGGAAGCCUUGGUGGCCGUAGAAAAAGGGAUAUGGACUUUCAACGUUGAAUGGCUAAUGGCAUGUAUAAUGAGACAAGAAGUAGACUUGGAGGCCCUUCAAUUUGCUGAGUCCCUAUGAGAAACAAGGUCACCCUAACUUUCAGUUUUGAACAAGCAGCAGCCAGCCAUUUCGUCCUUGUGUAAAUCCACUCUUUUCUCAACUCACUCUAAUUUGGUACAUAAACAAACUCUGAUCGCUCCAUCUCUAUAUUCAUCAGUACAUAAAAGACGAUAAGUUUAUUCAUGGAGAAAGUUGGAUGUAAGUAUGUUUUAGGAAUGGUCCUUCAUUUAGUAA
Cucumis sativus (cucumber) is the source of this 781-nucleotide long non-coding RNA. RefSeq lists it as uncharacterized. The transcript is spliced from 3 exons. The record is from RefSeq and is a predicted model, not a curated record. Lineage: Eukaryota; Viridiplantae; Streptophyta; Magnoliopsida; Cucurbitales; Cucurbitaceae.